Non-coding RNA from Podarcis lilfordi (Lilford's wall lizard), 73 nucleotides. The record is from the annotation of a GenBank genome assembly. NCBI's taxonomy places the organism in Eukaryota, Metazoa, Chordata, Lepidosauria, Squamata, Lacertidae.
GGAUAGCCCAGUUGGUUUGAGCGUGAUGCUGAUAAUGUCAAGGUUGCGGGUUCGUUCCCCGUAAGGGGCAGCU